This 253-nucleotide ribosomal RNA is filed under the name uncultured bacterium. RNAcentral describes it as "partial 16S ribosomal RNA". It matches the Rfam family "Bacterial small subunit ribosomal RNA", at positions 524 to 776 of the family's 1533-position model. The record is from RNAcentral.
UACGAGGGGGGCAAAUGUUGUUCGGAAUCACUGGGCGUAAAGGGAGCGUAGGCGGGUUCUUAAGUAAGGUGUUUAAUCCCGGGGCCCAACCCCGGACCGGCACUUUAAACUGGGAAUCUUGAAUAGUGGAGAGGUCGGUGGAAUUGGGGGUGUAGCGGUGGAAUACGUAGAGAUCCCCAAGAACACCAGUUGCGAAGGCGGCCGACUGGACACAUAUUGACGCUGAGGCUCGAAAGCAUGGGGAGCAAACAGG